RNAcentral lists this ribosomal RNA (460 nucleotides) under uncultured bacterium. RNAcentral describes it as "partial 16S ribosomal RNA". It matches the Rfam family "Bacterial small subunit ribosomal RNA", at positions 338 to 795 of the family's 1533-position model. The record is from RNAcentral.
CCUCCGGGAGGCAGCAGUGAGGAAUAUUGGUCAAUGGGCGAGAGCCUGAACCAGCCAAGUAGCGUGAAGGAUGAAUGACCUACGGGUUGUAAACUUCUUUUAUAUAGGAAUAAAGUGAGGAACGUGUGCCUUUUUGUAUGUACUUUAUUAAUACGGAUCGGCUAACUCCGUGCCAGCAGCCGCGGUAAUACGGAGGAUCCGAGCGUUAUCCGGAGUUAUUGGGUUUAAAGGGCGCGUAGAUGGUUUGUUAAGUCAGUUGUGAAAGUUUGUGGCUCAACCAUAAAAUUGCAAUUGAUACUGGCAGUCUUGAGGACAGGUGAGGUAGGCGGAAUUCGUGGUGUAGCGGUGAAAGGCUUAGAUAUCACGAAGAACUCCGAUUGCGAAGGCAGCUUACUAAACUUCAACUGACAUUGAUGCACGAAAGUGUGGGUAUCAAACAGGAUUAGAUACCCUAGUAGUC